CUCGGGGUAGCUCAGUUGGUAGAGCGGAGGACUGUAGUUCCUUAGGCCAGGUGUUCAAUUCACCUUCCCGAGA
Molecule: transfer RNA, 73 nt
Filed under: archaeon
Lineage: Archaea
Description: tRNA-Tyr
Rfam family: tRNA
About the family: Transfer RNA (tRNA) molecules are approximately 80 nucleotides in length. Their secondary structure includes four short double-helical elements and three loops (D, anti-codon, and T loops).
Source: RNAcentral